This is a long non-coding RNA of Astatotilapia calliptera (eastern happy), 694 nucleotides long. The record is from Ensembl. Lineage: Eukaryota; Metazoa; Chordata; Actinopteri; Cichliformes; Cichlidae.
GAGCGGCGGGCCUUGACCUUCGGGAAAAAAAAACUCACGGACGGUGACAGCGAAACGGAUAACAGUCUUCAGUACCUGCUGGACUUUGAAGCUGUGGAUUCUGGGACUGUUAGAAAAGCUCCAACAAAAUGAGGAAGAGGAGGGGGAGAAACACAAUUAGGUUGAAUUACAAUUGGAUGGAAGGCGAGGACAAGGAGAAGGAAGCUUAGGAUGAGGAGGAAGAGAAGCAGCAGGAGCAUCUUUAGGGAUCCCUAUGAUGUCAUUGAGAGGCAGCGGCGAGAGGGGAGACCUCGGCUCAUCCAGCUGGAGAGCCUGACCAGGAGGAGUCGAACAUUAACUGAGCUCUUCCAGGGCACCCUGCAGACUCGGCUGCUGGCAUCGGCGAGCGAUGACGUGAACGCCAAACUGGAGUCCAUCACAGGUCAACUGCAGCUCCUUGUCUCAGAGUGGGAGGGAUUUGAAGCACAAAGGGAGGAACUUGUCAUUUGGUUGGCUGAUAUGGAUGUGAGGUUGACCAGCUGACAGGAAACACCAGUGAAAAACUGAAACAACUGCAGGUGUGGGCUUGUUUUGAUAUGACAUAUACAGGGAGUGCAGAAUUAUUAGGCAAGUUGUAUUUUUGAGGAAUAAUUUUAUUAUUGAACAACAACCAUGUUCUCAAUGAACCCAAAAAACUCAUUAAUAUCAAAGCUGA